RNAcentral lists this transfer RNA (74 nucleotides) under Marmota monax (woodchuck). Its description in RNAcentral is "tRNA.Val". It matches the Rfam family "tRNA". Rfam says of the family: Transfer RNA (tRNA) molecules are approximately 80 nucleotides in length. Their secondary structure includes four short double-helical elements and three loops (D, anti-codon, and T loops). Lineage: Eukaryota; Metazoa; Chordata; Mammalia; Rodentia; Sciuridae. The record is from RNAcentral.
GUUGGGGAGUACUCAGCUGGUAGAGUGCUUGCCUCACAUGCACGAAGCCCUGGGUUCGAUCCCCAGCACCACCA